CUGAAUGCACUGGAUACUGAAGUCCUCUCUUUGUCCACAGAACAGGUCGGCUGCAGUGCAAGCUUCCCCACACACGGCCCAGCCAACAUGUAUGAGCCCUGCCCUGAUGAAUGCUCCCUGGGUGAGAGAGUGGUUCAGUCAACCCCAUCCAUCCCAUUCUUGC
This 163-nucleotide small RNA is filed under the name Lepisosteus oculatus (spotted gar). RNAcentral's name for it is "TUC338 (ENSLOCG00000019184.1)". Lineage: Eukaryota; Metazoa; Chordata; Actinopteri; Semionotiformes; Lepisosteidae. The record is from RNAcentral.